CUAAGGACUAUAAACAGUGUAAAAUAUAACCAGUUUAUUAAAAAAGUAAAAUAAGAAUAUUUGUACAUCAGGUAAAGCUUAAAUACAACAUUACACAUUGGAAAAAAAAAUGAAAACAUUUGACAAAGUAAAUUUGCCAGAUUGGUAAAUAAACAAUCUAUGCUGGCAGAAACACAAAAAUAAACAAGUCUGAUUGUUUUCAUUAUAAUUAAUAGAGUUUUUAUACAAAUAACAUUUGCUAAAGCCCUAAAGGGCCCAAUUUUUCCAAUUAAUAUCCAUUACAAUAGUUACCCAACAGUUUGCAAACUGGGUUGCAGAUUUACUCCUUCAAAAUAUAUCAAAACUAAAUAAAGUAGUAAACAUAUAUUUGUUGAAGGCGUUAACAUAUACAUUAAUAGCGGACAGCUCUCUUGAAGUGCAAGACCUGUUCUAUCCACAUACCAUGUAAAUAAUAGCUUUCUUGACCCAUCUAUGCAAUAUAAAUCUAGCACGCAUAAGUGAAUGGAAAUGUACUCAAUAACUGAAGCUACUGAUGGCAAAGGCUGGAUUUCUAAUUGGGUACACUAGACACUUCAAUGUAUAAUUGUUUUAGAAAUACCGAGGUAUUCAAAUGGAGGAACCUACUGCUAGCUCCACCCACAUCAGUCCACAUUCUACCAUUGGGGUUUAUGGUCCAUCAAAUGAUGUUGUAGCCUCUCCACAAGGUCAUAAAUUGAAUGGUCUGAAGUAUACUUCUUGAUCUAACAGAUGAUCGGCACUCAUCUUCAGUGACUACUUACAAUAUAAAGAUAAAUGUAAUAGAAUCUUAUAAUUUCAGUAAAUUCUCAAAUUUGAAAUAAAUGUUUGUAUGUAAUAUCUUGGCCUGCUUGAUAUAUAUAAUAACAUAUUUGUGUUUCAGUUUCUCUCAACAUUAGUUGACGAAUAAUAGUAGAUGAAUAUAAUUAUUAACAAAAAAAAGUGUAAAUAUUAUAAAUAUAAAUGUCCCUUGAUAUUCAGAUGUCUCACUUCAGCAUGUAAAUCCAGCCCUUAGAAAAUUGUCUUUAAAAUGUAACAGAAAUGUUAGAUGUUCCAAGGUAAUCUUGGCUUUUUCACCACCACUAUACUAAAUAUGCUACUUUACAAAUGUACCAGUAAUAAAUAUUUUAAAAAAUAUGGAAUACAUAAAUCGAGAAAAUCUUCAAUUUAGGAGAUUUAUCAUUUAAAAUGGUAGAUUCAAUAGAAAUAUUUGUGGGACCAGUAAAAAAAAAAAAAUGUUAUCUUAAAUUACGAGAUUGAUAAAUCUUCAGCACAAUUAAAUUUUGCUCAAAAUGGAAAUGGCAAGUCUAUAGCAACUUCAAGGAGAUUCACUAUGUAAGGUAGAACACAAUUAACAUUAGGUAUUUUAUUAUGUACAUUAAAUUCAAACUUAAAUGACUAACAAAAUAAAACAUAAAAUACUGUACAAAUAACUUAUUCAGAAGCAUAUGAAAAAUCGUGCAAAAGUAUAAAAGUCCCAUAUGUAUAAAUGCCACUUGUAGGACUUUUGUCGUGUUCAAAAUAAAUGAAAUUCAAAGGAACCAACUGUCUCCCAUCAGUCCUUGCAUAAUCAGGGAGUAAAAUACAAACAAAAUGCCCAUUUUGCACUUUUUCAACUAAUUUUUGAAUCAAAAUUACAGUUUAAUACAAGUGCAAAUUAAUAUAAAACAUUUUAUGCUCGGUAUCAUGUUAAAAAAAGGACAUACAUUGUUGCAGAAAUAAAUCUAAAAGAUAAAUGCAAUAGUACAAUAUAUUAUAUUCUCUGCUCAGUGCCUAAAGAAAUAUUGAAAUGGUAUAUUUAAAUUUUUUAAAAUGCCACUUUCGGAAAACAUUGAAAUAACAAUUCAAAUAACACUGACAUUUUCGUAAUGGAGACUCUAAUGUGAGAAUAAAAACUUUAUUAAAACAGUCUGGUGCACUAAGUUAAUACUUAAAUAGACACUCCAAGCUGUGAAACUACAAACUUGUAUCUGAUAAAGCGUCACAUAAUACUCAUAUUACUUUGCAUGAUAACAGCCAUUUUUUUAAUGGUGCCACAACGUGCACAUUUUUUCAAUGCAAAAAUUAUUGAGACAAUGAAUUAAAAAAUGUAGAUUUUUAAAUAUAUGCAAGUGUUUUCCCAUAUCGCUAAAUAAGAAGUACUUGCAUAUACACAGUCUCUGUGCAUUUGUUAAUUUACUUGUAUGCAACUUUACUAUGGCUAUUGACCUGUGCAAGCCUUUAUGGCUUCCAUAUAUUUGAACGAGGGAAGCUCUAAAUAUGCUGCAGUGUGCUGCCUUAUAGACUUGUGUAUUCGGUUUCAACAAAUUGAAGUUCGUCCACUUAUGCAUUCGGUGGAUCGUUCGAAUUUCAUAACACAGUAGCACCACAUGGACAUAUCAACAAAUGACACAAGCAAUAAGAAAACAGUUUUAUUCAUUUUGUGAUUUGGAGUUAUGCUUUUGGCACUAAAAAAUAAUUUGAUUGAUGGGAAAAAGAUGAUUGGGCAGCCACUAAAUGUUGAUUUUAUUCACAGAUCAAGUGUGGAGUGAGCAAUAAAGGAAAAAAGGAGGAGCGGUGAAAUUAUUUUAAUGUAUUUUAAAUUUAAUAAAGAUAUAAUCUAUAAAUAGAAUAUUUUUUUUAUUUGCUGCCUUUUUACCCUCUCUCUUGAUCUGUGAACCAAAUGGUGAGAAAAUGGGCCUGUCAAUUUACUGCAAAACAUAUACAUCGUUCUUAUAUUGUGUAUAUAUUUUGUAGUACACUAAUUGGCUAUUUUCAAACUAUUUUGUUUCAUCCAAGUCGUUUUUUACAUGUACAUGUACAGGUAAUUAUUAAAGUAACAGAUAUAUAUCAGAUACAUAGCUAGAUAGCGUUACUCAAAGCUUAACCAAAGCUCGCUUUUGCAGCUGAUAAUUAUGUUUUUUAUAUUUUCAGUAAUCACAAAUAUACAUCUAUCUAUGUGAUCCUUCAUGGAACACAUACAUAGAGCAAACCUUGUAUGUGUGCAUUAUGAGAAAAUCCUCUCACUUUGUAUAUGCAACACAUUGCUCCUAAUUUGUGUUAGAAUUUUGAACUUUUUUUAGUGUCUAUCACCAUUAUUUAUUAUGAAGAAAUUCAACAACAGUUACUGCCCAAGUCAUGGAAUAUACAAAAUUUUCAACAUGAGCCUGAUGUGAAGUUUCUUAGAAAAUGUAAUUCUUAUUUCAAUUAUAUAAUUUAAAAAAAGUUUUCAACUUAUCACCUAAUUGCACACUAAGAAAUAAUGACAUAUUCACUUAUGCAGUAAAUUUAAAGUCUUUAAAAAAGCUGGACAUUUGAUGAAAUAUGAAACUCAAUUGAAACAGGAGUUUAUUCACUAAACUUUGAUUUAUAGCGAAUUGAAACUCUCCAAUUUAAAAAAAAUAAAAUCCUGCAACUUUGCUUUUAUCAUAGCUUGGCUUUUCAAUUUCUGAUUUUAAAACACUACAAUUUAGAUCAGGGUAGGCAACUUUCAGCACUCCAGAUGUUGUGGACUACAUCUUCCAGAGAUGGAUUAAGAGCUCGUUGGUCCUGGUGCUGACAAUUGCAAUGCUUAAUUUCAGAAUUAUAAUGAUGGAAAACACUAAAACAGUCAUACCUCCCAAGCGUCAUGUAUCUGGUGGAGGUGGUGCUGGAGGGGAAACUCACAGAAUGCAGCUAUAAGAAAACACAUUCCCUUUGCUAAUCUCUUGCUUUCAUCUCUAAAGAAAAUCCAUACCCACUUACAGCUGCGUCCGGUGAAGCAGGAUUUUGGUGGUGGGGUAAAAGGGUGGGCCACUGAUGCAAAUCACGUAACAGGCAUCGCCCAACGGCAGACAUGCUAACAAAAGGGGUGGGUCUGUCCAAAGAAUUAGAAGGACAGUCUGGGGUGAAUGCAUGUCAGGCUGCCCGCCAAUCAUGCAGGCUGGCCAACUAAGGGUGUUCUAUAUAAACAGCUUCCUGAGCUUGGCAGAAAUGUGUCUCGCUCCCCACUUUCUGGGGACUGUCCCUCAGCAGAAGCUCCUUGUAUGCAAACUGGGACAGAGAAAAUUUAAAUGUAGUGAGUGUAGAAUUAAGGAGAUAUGCUACACUGUUAGAGAGUUUAAAGCAAGAGCAUUUGCAUACUGUACAAAGUCAGCUAUACCUUAACUAAUUUAUAGUCAGCCAGUCCACACAGGUUGUGUUCAGUCAUCAUUGAAUAGGCAUACAUAUAUGGAGCUUCAGCUCUUUCAGCCCCUAUGUUAAUCCAGGCCUGACAUCUUCCCUGAUGCUUUGCCAGCAUUAUGGUUUAAAGAGCAUUUUGGGAGAUGUGGUCUACAACAUUUGGAAUGCUGAAGGUUGUCUACUCCUGAUUUAGAGUUUAGUGAAUAAAGCCUUUGAAGUUUAUAACUGAAUAUUUUUCUAAAGCUGACCUACAUCAGUGAAUGAACUAAUAUUCUAAUUACACAAUGUGCUAGUUGCCUAGACACUUAGUUGCAGAUGAUGGUUCAUUAGAAAUGUAAACCAAAAACACUUCGAAGCCAAUAUUUGGUUAAUGUUGCAAAUCAUCAGAUGGGAGGUCAACUAUUGGUGACAACCACCAGUAUGUUAUCAGUUCUUAAGCACUUCCUUCCCUGCAGGAGCUCCUUAUUUUGACAGUGUCCAAUUUAUGACAUCGUUAACAGUCAGAAGACAGUAGCACAUAUUAUUUUCUGGCUCUCUGUUUCUGCAAUCAGGGUGAGUUAAAAAACAAAGUCAGAAGGCAAUGUCACACAUCCAAUUUCUACAUUAGAUUUUAAUUCAUUCCUGUCUCUGUUAUCUGACUCUGUCACAAGUCAGACACAGAAAUAAGCCCCUUAUACCAUAUCUACAUGAUAUCUGAAUCUAACUUAGGACUCCAACAGGUGAAUAAAUAGGAUAUAUAAAGGAAACAUAAUUCAGAUGUCAGAUGCUAAAAACGGAUGUGAUAAUGACUGUUUCUGACUUUUGACUAAUAUGGGUGUCAGAUACAGAGAUCAAGAUGAGAGGCCAAACUGGAUAAGACACCUGUCACUCUGACACUUAAAUUUACCUGGGUAUUAUUUAGGAAUCAGAAGUAGAGAUCAGACAAAAAAAAAAUAUGACACUGUUUUUUGACUCUGAUAUAUGAUAAUGUUAUAAAAUGGAUACAGUAUAGGAUCUACUGAUUUAGCACAGGUUCAACUAACAGAUAGUUGACAACACUACUUUUUUCACUUGCACUUAUUUAAUUAGAAGCAAUAACCUGGCUACGGGGACUACUUGAUUUUAAAUGGAAAGAAAAACUACCAAAAAUAAUAUGUAUGUUAUAUUGACAAAAGGCAUUGUUGAAAACUGUUAUUCUGCUAUUUGAGUCUCACAAUGAUCCUUUGUGUUUUAAAAGUUGCUUAAACAAUUGUAUAUCUGAAGCAAUUUGUCUUUGUCUGAGACAGAUAUAAAAUAGAAAAACGCACCAUGAUUGCUAGUGUAGACAAAAGCAAGGUGAACAGAAUAUUAAAUAUAAAACCCAAGGUAGCAGAGACUAGUAGCACAACACUACUUAUUAUGACAGUGUUUGCGUUAGGGUCAAUUAAUAAUCAAGUCUCUAACUAACAUACACUCUAACUAACAGCACACAGCCUGCAGUUCUGGUCAAGUAUUAACAAAAAUGACAAAAAUAUUACAUACACACAAACAUAUAAAUGUAAAAAAAUCACAACCCUCUCUCAUUGACCCUCUUUGUAGAUAAUUCAAAGAUGUCUGUUAUGAGUUGCAAUAUCUUUACAGAAUUGAAGCACCGUGAGGUUCUACAAUACCUUCCUAGGCCUUGCCAGAUAAAAUUUAAGUCAUGUUUUCCAGUUACUGAGGCUCCUAACUAAGGAGCCUUCGCUAGAGAAAUGUUAACAUAGCGAGAUGUCAGUUUGUCUAUGCAUAAAUUUCUUGUCUGAUUUUUCCAGUAAUGAUGUGCGAUCUUUACUAUUUUUAGUGGCAUCUGCCAUCUGGCAUGUAAGUCUACUAUGUCAUUAAUAUUUAUUUUUAAUUAAAAAAAUUGAAACGUUUGAUUCAAAAUGGCUUCUUCAUGCAAGUACUCCAACACAGAAACUGCAAACAAGCUUGCAAAUACUUGACAAACAUACUAAACUCAGAUAGUUAUUCAAUAUCAAAAUUAUUACCUAAGAGCUUAUUGAACUUUUCUUAUUUUAUUACAAAUGCAAAGAUAAACAACCCCUUAAUGGAACUGUGCCUGGUUGAGCACAUCUGGCAGUAAAAGGGUCAUUUAUACUAUAAAAAAGAAAAACUAUUGAUGUAAUUACCUGCUCUAACUGUGUAGUGUUAAAUGUCAGAUGUAUGACAUUUUAAAGCAGUGAUAGUAUUAUAAAAAAUAUAUAUCGAUCACAACUUAACAGAACAAACUGCUAAAUUAAUGAUUCAUAUAGUAUAUGCAUAGGGUAUCUGUGCAGUAUAUGAAAUGUGUGUAUUACCUCAAAGCAUACCUUAGGACAGCUCUGAAAAUACAUAAAUAUACAUCUACAGGAGACAGACUUUUGAAAAUAUUCAAAAACAUGAGCUCAAACAACUCAAAAAACAUGUGUCAGGGAAGUGAAGUUGGAAGUGAACAAAAACAAAACACUUCCUAUGUUUAAGGUACAUAAUAGUACAUGGAAUUCCAUUUUGCAUUCUUAGAAAAAGUCAAUAAAUAGAAGGCAGUGGGAGGGUUGAAGAUGGAAUCAUCGAAAGGCACUUUAUGGAAAUUUGUCAGGAUUUCCUUAACUGUUCCAAAAGAUCAAAAAUGUAGAAGUUUCCCCCAAAAUUUUUUGAUUAAAGGAAUAUAUUUAUACAUAUGAAUCUGUUCAUAUAGUGUCAUAGUCCUGUGGAAAGAGUCUGUUCAGUUUUUCUUUCAUUCUGUCAAAUUUAUCAGUCAAUGAACAAAAAUUAUCAAUAAAAAUUGACAUCCUGAAACACCUUAUGUGAACAGAAUGGACACUUUUAAACACUUGUCUCUUUUCCCUUUCUAUCCUUACAUAGGAGGGCUUUCUUGCAGUAACACAACGAAACUGAAAUCCGGCAAGUCAUCGCAAUGGUGCUGUGAUUGCCUAGAUAUCCCACAAUCUCUAUCAGAAGAUGAUGUAAGUCAUUCAGACAUCAUCAGGUCUUCAAGCAUGGAAUAUUGGGUUCUUCAUCCUUCAUAUACGCAGGCAUGUUACACGUUCUAUCCAGCUUCACUUUUUGGCCAGUAGCCAUGGAGUCUGACCCUUAAAAUUACCAAAUAAAAGUACUAUUGUAAGCAGCUAACCGGGAAGGAUUACAUCAAUUACAGUGUUACAUCAUAUUAAAAGACUGGGGUUCUAACAUUUGUUUAACAUGUGACUCUAAAUGCAAAUGUUCAUAGCUCUCUUUCUUAACUAUAUUAUUCUAAGUCCCUGAUGUAUUUUUAGUGUGUCAGCAAAACCUUUCUUCUAGCCAUGUGAUAGAAUUGAAAAUGUUCCUUUAGGAAUGCAGAAACUGCAAUAUUUAAAUUAUCCUUAUACAAACUAAGUAUUUAAAAGAUGCAGAGAUGAUAAGUUUGUGUGUUCUGUAUAUAUGGUAUCGACCAUCAAACAUGAAGCAGGAGGCAAAGUAAGGAACAGUCCUGGUGGGGGAUCCAUAGUUUGAUAAUGUGUUUUGUUCUUC
This 7638-nucleotide long non-coding RNA is filed under the name Pelobates cultripes (western spadefoot toad). The record is from RNAcentral. Lineage: Eukaryota; Metazoa; Chordata; Amphibia; Anura; Pelobatidae.